GCGGCCUCAGCUGACAAAUUGACUGCAAUUUCAUGAAAAUCUCCUUGACAGAACCACCAAGGUAAUCCUCUCUCAAAUUUCUGAUCCAAAGAAACUAUAAAAUUUUGAAAUGUUCAUUAUUUAUUAAUAUUUAUUGCCACUAAGGGGUGUGUGUGUGUGUGUGUGUGUGUGUGUGUGUGUUUGAGACGAACUCUUGUCCCCCAGGCUGAAGUGCAAUGGCACAAUCUUGGCUCACUGCAACAUCUGCCUCCUGGGUUCAAGUGAUUCUCCUGCCUCAGCCUCCUGAAUAGCUGUGACUACAAGCACCCAGCACCACGCCCGGCUAAUUUUUGCAUUUUUAGUAGAGAUGGGGUUUCACCGUGUUGCCAGGCCCAUCUUGAACUCCUGACCUCAAGUGAUCUGCCCACCUCAGCCUCCCAGAGUGCUGGGAUUACAGGCAAGAGCCACUGUGCCCAGCCUGGAGACCUUUUUGAUUGUUGAGUUCUAGGGGGGAAAGUGCUACUAGGCAAGUAAUGAGUAGAGAUCAGAAAGGCUGUAAGCUUCCUAUAAUCCACAGAAUAGCCUCCCUAGAACAAAGACAUACCCUGUCAGAAAUGUCAAUAGCCAGGUGCAGUGGUGUGCACUUGCAGUCCCAGAUACUCAGCAGGCUGAGGCAGGAGAACCACUUCAGUCUAGGAGCUUGGGGCCAGCCUGGGCAACAUAGUGAGUCUCUAGCUCUAAAAAAAAAAAAAAAAAGUCAAUAAUACCAAAGCUGAAAAACCCUGGUUUGGUACAUAUAAACCUAGGAAGACAAAUAGGGUUCUGAAAGAUCAAUUGUAUUAAUAUUUUCAACAGUGACCCAACUGGUAAGGCAGACAACAUGCUGAGGGAAUGGAGACAAAAAGCUUCUGCAAAAUCAGCCAUUCCCAUCUCUUUGCUAUCUUAGCAUUUUAUCAUUAUUAUAGAUUUGAAAAAACAUCUAUAAUGUAAAAUGUAUUAUAGUUAUUUGUGUUUUAUCCACUAAAUUGUGAGCAGUCUUAACUGUUAAUCCCUGGUGGCUUGGUCCUCAGCAGGUUUUUGUCGAUUGUAUAAUAUCAGAUAGGAAAAUUGGCUACGAAUUAGACUAUUGCUCAAAAGUACAAAUUGGAAGAAGUUUUUAACCCUUUGCUCACAAACCCCCAAAAAACUCUGUAAUUAUGGUAAAUAGUUGAUUGAAAAAUAGAACCAAAAGGUAAAAGAGUAAGAAUUUGAAAACCUACACAAGGCCAGGAAUGAUGGCCCACACCUGUAAUACUAGCACUUUGGGAGGCCAAAGUGGGAGGAUCGCUUGAGGCCAGGAGUUUGAGGCUAGCCUGGGCGACAUGAUGACAGCCUGUCUCAAAAAAA
RNAcentral lists this long non-coding RNA (1365 nucleotides) under Macaca fascicularis (crab-eating macaque). RNAcentral's name for it is "lncRNA (ENSMFAG00000048310.1)". The record is from RNAcentral. Lineage: Eukaryota; Metazoa; Chordata; Mammalia; Primates; Cercopithecidae.